GAUGAACGCUGGCGGCGUGCUUAACACAUGCAAGUCGAACGAAGCACUCUAUUUGAUUUUCUUCGGAAAUGAAGAUUUUGUGACUGAGUGGCGGACGGGUGAGUAACGCGUGGGUAACCUGCCUCAUACAGGGGGAUAACAGUUGGAAACGACUGCUAAUACCGCAUAAGCGCACGGUAUCGCAUGGUACAGUGUGAAAAACUCCGGUGGUAUGAGAUGGACCCGCGUCUGAUUAGCUAGUUGGUGGGGCAACGGCCUACCAAGGCGACGAUCAGUAGCCGACCUGAGAGGGUGACCGGCCACAUUGGGACUGAGACACGGCCCAAACUCCUACGGGAGGCAGCAGUGGGGAAUAUUGCACAAUGGGGGAAACCCUGAUGCAGCGACGCCGCGUGAACGAAGAAGUAUUUCGGUAUGUAAAGUUCUAUCAGCAGGGAAGGUAAUGACGGUACCUGACUAAGAAGCACCGGCUAAAUACGUACCAGCAGCCGCGGUAA
Molecule: ribosomal RNA, 497 nt
Filed under: uncultured bacterium
Lineage: Bacteria
Description: partial 16S ribosomal RNA
Rfam family: Bacterial small subunit ribosomal RNA
Source: RNAcentral